AAUAUUGCACAAUGGGCGCAAGCCUGAUGCAGCCAUGCCGCGUGUAUGAAGAAGGCCUUCGGGUUGUAAAGUACUUUCAGCAGUGAGGAAGGUGGGUAUGUUAAUAGCAUAUUCAUUUGACGUUAGCUGCAGAAGAAGCACCGGCUAACUCCGUGCCAGCAGCCGCGGUAAUACGGAGGGUGCGAGCGUUAAUCGGAAUUACUGGGCGUAAAGCGCAUGCAGGUGGUUGUUAAGUCAGAUGUGAAAGCCCGGGGCUCAACCUCGGAAUUGCAUUUGAAACUGGCAAACUAGAGUACUGUAGAGGGGGUAGAAUUUCAGGUGUAGCGGUGAAAUGCGUAGAGAUCUGAAGGAAUACCGGUGGCGAAGGCGGCCCCCUGGACAGAUACUGACACUCAGAUGCGAAAGCGUGGGGAGCAAACAGGAUUAUAUACCCUGGUAG
Molecule: ribosomal RNA, 439 nt
Filed under: uncultured bacterium
Lineage: Bacteria
Description: bacterial SSU rRNA
Rfam family: Bacterial small subunit ribosomal RNA
Source: RNAcentral